Molecule: ribosomal RNA, 449 nt
Filed under: uncultured bacterium
Lineage: Bacteria
Description: partial 16S ribosomal RNA
Rfam family: Bacterial small subunit ribosomal RNA
Source: RNAcentral
AACGAACGCUGGCGGCAGGCCUAACACAUGCAAGUCGAACGCCGUAGCAAUACGGAGUGGCAGACGGGUGAGUAACGCGUGGGAACGUACCCUUCAGUUCGGAAUAACCCAGGGAAACUUGGGCUAAUACCGGAUACGUGCGAGAGCAGAAAGAUUUAUCGCUGAAGGAUCGACCCGCGUCCGAUUAGCUAGUUGGUGAGGUAAUGGCUCACCAAGGCGACGAUCGGUAGCUGGUCUGAGAGGAUGAUCAGCCACAUUGGGACUGAGACACGGCCCAAACUCCUACGGGAGGCAGCAGUGGGGAAUAUUGGACAAUGGGCGCAAGCCUGAUCCAGCCAUGCCGCGUGAGUGAUGAAGGCCCUAGGGUUGUAAAGCUCUUUCGCCAGGGACGAUAAUGACGGUACCUGGAUAAGAAGCCCCGGCUAACUUCGUGCCAGCCGCCGCGGUAA